AAGAAGUUCUGACGGAGCAAUACCGCGUGAGGGAUGAAGUAUCUGGUAUGUAAACCUCUUUUCUCAAGAAAGAAGUUGACGGUACUUGAGGAAUAAGCAUCGGCUAACUCCGUGCCAGCAGCCGC
RNAcentral lists this ribosomal RNA (125 nucleotides) under uncultured Isochrysis. Its description in RNAcentral is "partial Bacterial small subunit ribosomal RNA". It matches the Rfam family "Bacterial small subunit ribosomal RNA", at positions 375 to 518 of the family's 1533-position model. Lineage: Eukaryota; Haptophyta; Isochrysidales. The record is from RNAcentral.